Rosa rugosa (rugosa rose) is the source of this 1806-nucleotide long non-coding RNA. RefSeq lists it as uncharacterized. The record is from RefSeq and is a predicted model, not a curated record. The transcript has 7 exons. Lineage: Eukaryota; Viridiplantae; Streptophyta; Magnoliopsida; Rosales; Rosaceae.
ACUUAGUUAUUUUUCCUACUUGUUCAUCGUUCUCUCUCUCUCACUCUUGCCUGAAACUCUAGCCCUCUCCUCCUUCCUCUCCCGUUCUCUUUCCACGGCCACCAUCGCCUUCCUCUUCGCUCACUCCCGCUACUAUCUCUCUCCCUCAUUAACCACCUCCACCCCCUCGUCGGCGCUAUCACCUCCACCCGCAAGCUCUCUCUCUCUCUCUCUCUCUCGCUCUCGAGCUCUCUAAGAUCUCAGAAGAUUUCAAUCUGGCAAAGCAUCCUCUACAACAGGUUUCAAUAUGAAUUAAUCGCGUUAAUGAUGGGUGGAGAUUUGGGGAUGCCAUCGUUCCUUGAAGAAGACUGCGUUCUUCAAGAGUGAGAUUUGGAGGAGGUUGUUUGUGACAGCAGUACUGAUUGUGAUUAGUCGUGUUGGUUGUUUCAUUACUCUGCCUGGGUUUGAUAGAAGGUUGAUACCUCAGGAUUAUCUCAGGUUUGUCUCGGGAUCAGUUGAUGAGCUCGACGAUUUUACAACAGAGCUUAAAAUGUCCUUGUCCCAGUUUGGAAUCAAUCCUCAAAUUAUAGCAUCGAUUAUCAUACAGGGUCAAGCAUGUGAUGCUGACAAGUAUGUUAUUGGUCUGUGGUGCGAUGACAAUGACAUGGAUAUGUGAUACCAUUACAGAAUCUGGAUUUGGUAUGAUACUUGACCUUUUGGUUACUUGGUUAGCAGCAAUAUGGUUUUGCUCAUAUGGUUUUGAGUCUCGUAUUGACUUUCCACUUGAUGUAAUCUGAAUUGUAAUUCGCUAUCUGACAAAGUAUUAGUUUCCAUACCCUUUGAUCUAAUUUUGCGAAAAGGAUCUUCACGGUUGCAUGAAUUUGCUUUUGAAACCUGCAUGACUAUGUCAUUAAGCUAUAUGUGCAAUUUCAGCUUUUGGUAUGUGGUUUAGGAUUUCUAUUCAAUGAAACAGCAUGCAUUUCUGUGGCAUGUUGGGGAAACAACAGCGGCCACCCAUGGACUAAUAUAUAUGACAUAGACAAGUUAUGUGCUGCCCCCGCAUUGCGAAUAUGAAAAUGAUUACAUGUAUUGGACAGCAUUUCGGAGCUCUAACAUUCUUUUGAUUUUCCAUUUGCCAGGUUUGUGGGGAAGAUAUGUAGAAAUUUGAGAGAGCAGAAAUCGUAUGUACGCUGCUGUUGGUUGUCCUUGGUGUUGCUGCACUAAGUGAUCUCAUCAAAGAGGAGUGGAAAAACUUAUACCAUGAAACCAUUGCCUCUAAAAGCAUCACGGGACAUCUUGAGGUUGAUGCACCAUACUUACCGCAGUUAGGGAUUUCAGUUGUUUGUAAGCUUCUUUGAAAUAUAUGGAGGAAAACUUUUUGAUCUCCUCAAUGAGCGCAAAAAGCUUUGCAUGAGAGAAGAUGGUAAGCAACAAGUUUGUAUUGUGGGUUUGCAAGAAUACAAAGUGUCUGAUGUAGAGACAAUUAAAGAGCUCAUUGAGAAAGGAAGUGCCACAAGAUGUAUUGGUACCACUGGUGCAUAUGAAGAAUCCUCUCGCUCACAUGCCAUACUUCAGCUUGCUAUCAAAAGGGCAGUUGAUGACAAUGUAUCAAAGCCUCCCUGUCUUGUUGGUGAAAACAGAAGAACAAAUGGGAUAUAAGUAUGGCGAGGCUUGCUUUCGUUUAUGUUUCUAGUAUUAUGUACCAUUUAGACUUAAAUUUUUGUUUUAUUUCGACAUGUUAUGCAUAGAAAUACUUGGGAUGUUGUUAUGUACUUUGAGCAUCAAUAUUAAUCAAAAUUUAUUUACUUACGAUAUGUAUUCUCAUUA